AACGAACGCUGGCGGCAUGCCUAACACAUGCAAGUCGAACGAGACCUUCGGGUCUAGUGGCGCACGGGUGCGUAACGCGUGGGAACCUGCCCUUAGGUUCGGAAUAACUCCCCGAAAGGGGUGCUAAUACCGGAUAAUGUCUUCGGACCAAAGAUUUAUCGCCUUUGGAUGGGCCCGCGUUGGAUUAGCUAGUUGGUAGGGUAAAAGCCUACCAAGGCGACGAUCCAUAGCUGGUCUGAGAGGAUGAUCAGCCACACUGGGACUGAGACACGGCCCAGACUCCUACGGGAGGCAGCAGUGGGGAAUAUUGGACAAUGGGCGAAAGCCUGAUCCAACAAUGCCGCGUGAGUGAUGAAGGCCUUAGGGUUGUAAAGCUCUUUUACCCGGGAUGAUAAUGACAGUACCGGGAGAAUAAGCUCCGGCUAACUCCGU
RNAcentral lists this ribosomal RNA (432 nucleotides) under uncultured bacterium. RNAcentral's name for it is "partial 16S ribosomal RNA". It matches the Rfam family "Bacterial small subunit ribosomal RNA", at positions 29 to 506 of the family's 1533-position model. The record is from RNAcentral.